GCCUGCCGAGAUUGGCUUUAGGACAAGGGACAAGCAAGAAUGGGUGAGAAAAUCACAGAGACAUAAAGGAGAAGGAUCUGCAUGUAAGAGAAAACAGACUGUCUGACUUUAAUUUGGCUCUUACGGAACUGUCAGCCAGUCCAAAGUGCUCAAAAGUUGUUUCAGUUUCAGAAGAAACUCACCUGUAAAGUAUACCUUGAUGUAUGAAUCUUUAACAAUUGGC
Molecule: long non-coding RNA, 223 nt
Organism: Pteronotus mesoamericanus
Lineage: Eukaryota; Metazoa; Chordata; Mammalia; Chiroptera; Mormoopidae
Exons: 3
Source: RefSeq, a predicted model, not a curated record